AGUUCAAAGAGGUACCGACACUCGGUGUAACGGCCAACCCGCCAUCCACAGUGGAUCUUCUGUGUCCAAUAUAUGCACCAACCUCCAUAUCUGGACUCCUCAAGAAGCUGCCAGCCAGCAGAGGCCUGACUGGAGAUGUACCAGAGCAGCCGUCUAUAAGAAGGGAGAGGGCAGACUGGAGUCACUGAGGAAGCUAAGAUCAUUCAGUCUUCUCAGGGAACAAGUGUGUCACUCUGAGACCAAGGCAUCGCACUAUGGGAAAUCUUGGAUCCCUCUCAAAUCAUCCGUUGCAGAGACGGGGAGACAGAGGCUUCCACAAAAUGUGUGCUGAUAAUCAGACAUGGGGCCACCACAGUGGGGCACUUGAAGAGCGUACGAUGCAAGAUGGAGACCUUGAAGAGGAGUAAAUAGCUACUGAAGUAUUGCCUCCUUGUGUGGUGCUGUAGCUCAGGUGCUGGCUGCAGUUAGCGAUGCACUAAACAAAGGGUGAAAUGAGUGUGUGUGUGUGUGUGGCGUCGAGCUGCCAUGAAAGGCAGAUGGAUUUAUUUCUUUGUUUACCCUGGCUCUCUGCCAGAAUAGUCCUGACUGUAAUUUCAUUACCAGUCCUUAGUACAUCUGUUUAUUUAGUGACAUCGGGACUGGAGUUUACUCAGUGUGCAAGUGUUAGACGCUGGCUCUAACUGUGAUUUUUAAUAAGAUGCACACUCAGUUCCUGUUCUAAUUAGCAUCACGCAGAAGCCCAACCACUGCACAUUUGAGCUGACACUGCCUAUAUAAUUUAAGAUUACAGGUUUUAAUAAAACAGCCUCUUCAUGCUUCGUUUAAACUGAUCACCAGCUGCUGGGUCAAUUGAAUAUUUGGGAAUUUAAUUAAGCUUCAGUUUGGAUCACAAUCUUUCUACAAAGUCGGGGGCUUGUAGUUUAAGCAUCAGUAGGAGAUAUCAAAGAAGGGAAAGGAUGAUGUUCCAAGCAUGAAUUUUGAGAUGUAAGCUCUAUAAUGCACUGGAAUGGAAAGGUCUGGAGUGGCUUAUCUAUUUGAUCUCUGAAUCCUUUUGUUCGACUCCACAGAGUUGGACUGCUAUUAUCCUGCUUGUCCGUAUUAUGCUGCAGAUUCCAGCGCAACCCUCUAAGGUAUGCAGCAUUUCGGCAUGGCUUUUCCCCCUGGACUGCUCUCCUCAUUAUUGCCAGCAUGUAAUACAAUAGUUACUAUUGACUUCUUGGGAUGCUGUCGUCAUACUGAAUUGACUGUGUUGCUUUGGUCUUAAAGUAGGUUAAUUUCACUCAGUGGUACACGAGUAAAUAUUGUAUGAAGCUCCUGAGCCGUGAAAUAUGAGAAUGUUGCUGCCCUCUGUAUGCAUCUCCAUAUGUUAACUCAUGUUUAUUGUGUGUACAGUAGAGCCCGUCCAUCGGGUCGGGAUGCUUGACAUUGUGUAAUGGAAGAAAGUGCCAGAUGUUCAACCAGUGAAGUAGUCCACACAAUGUCAGAUUAUUCAUGAAUCGUUCUGUUUUCUGCUACAUUGAAAUCAAAACACAGUGGCAUAAAAGAAUAUCCUACAGAAAUGUUUCACUCCAGGAAACAGGCUUCUAAGGCCUCAUCCACACAUAGCUGGAUAUCUAUGAAACUGGAAAGUUUUUUAUUGCGAUUUGGUCUUUCAUCCACACGUAAACUCCAUCUAAUAUCACUAAAAACAAUUAAUAAAAACCUCAAGCAAAGUGUAGGUUUGAGAAUUUUCCCUAUUGGCGUUUGUACAUAGGAAAGAGGCUCCUGUGCACAUUACAGUCUGUGACAAAUAAUGUGUCACAUGUGACUUUUGCUAUUGUUUGGCCGUGCAGUGGAGGAAAAACGACAGGUGAUGAUUUUUACGUUGGUUCAGAUGCUUUUUGCCUGAUUUACCAGCCAAACUGUUGCAAUACAUUGAAUUGCAAAGAAGAAACAAUGCUUGGAGGUCAGCUGUUUUACACCAACUACUCCUACCAAUAUGGAGGCAUAAUGCCGUUUCCACGUCCACACAUGGCACGAUUCCCAAAUGACAUCGUCUCGUGUUUUAUUAAUUUUAUAUUCUAACAUGGCAUUUAAAAGUAGUUUAACCUAUUUGUCUGUCCACACAAAUGAAUCUCCUGUCACCAGAUUCCUAACAGGAAGUAGUGGUUAUUUUUGAUGGAUUUUGAUUGGCGGACAUAAGGUUUAGCUUUGCUCUACACUGUCCUCUAUG
Long non-coding RNA from Poecilia latipinna (sailfin molly), 2212 nucleotides. RefSeq lists it as uncharacterized. The record is from RefSeq and is a predicted model, not a curated record. The transcript is spliced from 5 exons. Lineage: Eukaryota; Metazoa; Chordata; Actinopteri; Cyprinodontiformes; Poeciliidae.